This 1039-nucleotide long non-coding RNA is filed under the name Salvia miltiorrhiza (redroot sage). RNAcentral describes it as "long non-coding RNA (SMIL_LNC009914)". The record is from RNAcentral. Lineage: Eukaryota; Viridiplantae; Streptophyta; Magnoliopsida; Lamiales; Lamiaceae.
GAAAAAGAGUCCUGAUUCCCCUCUUUUUUUGUCAACAAAAAAAAGUCAUGUUUCACUUUUUAUACAAUUUUACCCUUUGUUAACUUAUCUAUUUAUUUGAUUUGCCAUUCAUUAACCCAUAACAAUAAAUGUUAAACACCCAAAUUAAAUCCUAAUCUAUUCCUUAAUUAAACCCAUAAUUCAGUCAAUUAAAACCAUUUCUCCCAUUUGUGGGUGAAACCCCAGAGCCUUCUACACAUAUUUGCGACGAAGAAUCACUGGGUGAAAACCAUUUCUACCAUUUCUAUGGUAUUUGAGUGAAAUCUCCGAUGGAUCUGUUGCCAUAUCGCCGCCUCGCUUCUUCUUCUUCACCCUAAGUGCCGUCUCCCUCAAAUCUCCGCCUCCAUCUCAGCCCAAAACCCCAAAUCGCCCCCCCCUCUGAGCCUGAAACCAUAAGGCUCUGCCUCCCUCAAAUCACCGCCUCCGGCUGGUCUCGAUCAUCUCGGAGCACCACGGGAACUCGCUCUCGCCCUACCUCUCGCCGUCGUCUGCAACGCCAACUCCUUCGUCCGCUCUACCUGCGUGAGUAGCUUCAAGGCGAAGCUGGCGCUUCUCGCACUGGUGAGGAGCUUGGUAGCGGUGGAUGGAGUGAUGCGGCAGGAGAAUAUCCUCAAUUUGGUUUGGAAUUUUCUAGAUUUGUUGCUGGAAUUUAUUGAAUUUCUAUACCCAUUAAUGCCCUAAAUUUGUUGAAUUUUCUCAAUCGAUUCGUUGAAUGCCAAAAUUUGUUUGUAGUUUGUUGAAUUUGCUCAAUCGAUUUCUUUACCCAUUUGCUGAAUUUGUUGAAAUUGCUGAAUCGAUUUCUUAACCCAUUUGUUGAAUUUGUUUACUCAAUCGAUUUCUUAAUUAAUAUCCUAAAUUUGUUGCAUUUGAUUGCUCAAUAAUGCCUUAAUUUGUUUGGAAUUUGCUGAAUUGCUUUACCCAUUAACAAAGGAUUAAGCAAGUAAAAUUGUCAUUAACACUACCCCUAUAAAUUUACUUCUCUCUCCACUUACACCUACUU